This 1543-nucleotide ribosomal RNA is filed under the name Escherichia coli. RNAcentral's name for it is "bacterial SSU rRNA". It matches the Rfam family "Bacterial small subunit ribosomal RNA". The record is from RNAcentral. Lineage: Bacteria; Pseudomonadati; Pseudomonadota; Gammaproteobacteria; Enterobacterales; Enterobacteriaceae.
AAAUUGAAGAGUUUGAUCAUGGCUCAGAUUGAACGCUGGCGGCAGGCCUAACACAUGCAAGUCGAACGGUAACAGGAAGAAGCUUGCUUCUUUGCUGACGAGUGGCGGACGGGUGAGUAAUGUCUGGGAAACUGCCUGAUGGAGGGGGAUAACUACUGGAAACGGUAGCUAAUACCGCAUAACGUCGCAAGACCAAAGAGGGGGACCUUCGGGCCUCUUGCCAUCGGAUGUGCCCAGAUGGGAUUAGCUAGUAGGUGGGGUAACGGCUCACCUAGGCGACGAUCCCUAGCUGGUCUGAGAGGAUGACCAGCCACACUGGAACUGAGACACGGUCCAGACUCCUACGGGAGGCAGCAGUGGGGAAUAUUGCACAAUGGGCGCAAGCCUGAUGCAGCCAUGCCGCGUGUAUGAAGAAGGCCUUCGGGUUGUAAAGUACUUUCAGCGGGGAGGAAGGGAGUAAAGUUAAUACCUUUGCUCAUUGACGUUACCCGCAGAAGAAGCACCGGCUUAACUCCGUGCCAGCAGCCGCGGUAAUACGGAGGGUGCAAGCGUUAAUCGGAAUUACUGGGCGUAAAGCGCACGCAGGCGGUUUGUUAAGUCAGAUGUGAAAUCCCCGGGCUCAACCUGGGAACUGCAUCUGAUACUGGCAAGCUUGAGUCUCGUAGAGGGGGGUAGAAUUCCAGGUGUAGCGGUGAAAUGCGUAGAGAUCUGGAGGAAUACCGGUGGCGAAGGCGGCCCCCUGGACGAAGACUGACGCUCAGGUGCGAAAGCGUGGGGAGCAAACAGGAUUAGAUACCCUGGUAGUCCACGCCGUAAACGAUGUCGACUUGGAGGUUGUGCCCUUGAGGCGUGGCUUCCGGAGCUAACGCGUUAAGUCGACCGCACGGGGAGUACGGCCGCAAGGUUAAAACUCAAAUGAAUUGACGGGGGCCCGCACAAGCGGUGGAGCAUGUGGUUUAAUUCGAUGCAACGCGAAGAACCUUACCUGGUCUUGACAUCCACAGAACUUUCCAGAGAUGGAUUGGUGCCUUCGGGAACUGUGAGACAGGUGCUGCAUGGCUGUCGUCAGCUCGUGUUGUGAAAUGUUGGGUUAAGUCCCGCAACGAGCGCAACCCUUAUCCUUUGUUGCCAGCGGUCCGGCCGGGAACUCAAAGGAGACUGCCAGUGAUAAACUGGAGGAAGGUGGGGAUGACGUCAAGUCAUCAUGGCCCUUACGACCAGGGCUACACACGUGCUACAAUGGCGCAUACAAAGAGAAGCGACCUCGCGAGAGCAAGCGGACCUCAUAAAGUGCGUCGUAGUCCGGAUUGGAGUCUGCAACUCGACUCCAUGAAGUCGGAAUCGCUAGUAAUCGUGGAUCAGAAUGCCACGGUGAAUACGUUCCCGGGCCUUGUACACACCGCCCGUCACACCAUGGGAGUGGGUUGCAAAAGAAGUAGGUAGCUUAACCUUCGGGAGGGCGCUUACCACUUUGUGAUUCAUGACUGGGGUGAAGUCGUAACAAGGUAACCGUAGGGGAACCUGCGGUUGGAUCACCUCCUUA